UCGUGUAGAGGGAAACAACCCUGACCGACAGCUAAGGCCCCCAAUUCGUGGCUAAGUGGGAAAGGAUGUGGGACUCCCAAAACAACCAGGAGGUUGGCUUAGAAGCAGCCAUCCUUUAAAGAAAGCGUAACAGCUCACUGGUCUAAAUAAGGUGUCCUGCGCCUAAAAUGUAACGGGGCUCAAGCCACGAGCCGAAGCUUCGGAUGCACUCCUUCGGGGGUGAGUGGUAGCGGAGCG
Molecule: ribosomal RNA, 237 nt
Filed under: Escherichia coli
Lineage: Bacteria; Pseudomonadati; Pseudomonadota; Gammaproteobacteria; Enterobacterales; Enterobacteriaceae
Description: partial 23S ribosomal RNA
Rfam family: Bacterial large subunit ribosomal RNA
Source: RNAcentral